GAUGAACGCUGGCGGCGUGCCUAAUACAUGCAAGUCGAGCGAACGGACGAGAAGCUUGCUUCUCUGAUGUUAGCGGCGGACGGGUGAGUAACACGUGGAUAACCUACCUAUAAGACUGGGAUAACUUCGGGAAACCGGAGCUAAUACCGGAUGAUAUUUUGAAUCGCAUGGUUCAAAAGUGAAAGACGGUCUUGCUGUCACUUAUAGAUGGAUCCGCGCUGCAUUAGCUAGUUGGUAAGGUAACGGCUUACCAAGGCAACGAUGCAUAGCCGACCUGAGAGGGUGAUCGGCCACACUGGAACUGAGACACGGUCCAGACUCCUACGGGAGGCAGCAGUAGGGAAUCUUCCGCAAUGGGCGAAAGCCUGACGGAGCAACGCCGCGUGAGUGAUGAAGGUCUUCGGAUCGUAAAACUCUGUUAUUAGGGAAGAACAUAUGUGUAAGUAACUGUGCACAUCUUGACGGUACCUAAUCAGAAAGCCACGGCUAACUACG
This 495-nucleotide ribosomal RNA is filed under the name uncultured bacterium. Its description in RNAcentral is "partial 16S ribosomal RNA". It matches the Rfam family "Bacterial small subunit ribosomal RNA", at positions 28 to 505 of the family's 1533-position model. The record is from RNAcentral.